AUUAAAUAGCUGUGCAGUAGGUCAUUAAAUAGCUGUGCAAUAGGUCAUUAAAUAGCUGUGCAGUAGGUCAUUAAAUAGCUGUGCAGUAGGUCAUUAAAUAGCUGUGCAGUAGGUCAUUAAAUAGCUGUGCAGUAGGUCAUUAAAUAGCUG
Molecule: long non-coding RNA, 150 nt
Organism: Oncorhynchus keta (chum salmon)
Lineage: Eukaryota; Metazoa; Chordata; Actinopteri; Salmoniformes; Salmonidae
Exons: 3
Source: RefSeq, a predicted model, not a curated record